This is a non-coding RNA of Nomia melanderi (Alkali bee), 2255 nucleotides long. Lineage: Eukaryota; Metazoa; Arthropoda; Insecta; Hymenoptera; Halictidae. The record is from RefSeq and is a predicted model, not a curated record.
UGAUCGUUUAAUUCAGGUAAAAUCGACUAGUGCAUCAGGGUAUUUUUGACGUUAUCGGUAUUUCAGAUAUAUUUACUACAUUGGUCAACUUCGAUCAUUUUACUUGAUGUAGUUUUCCUAUUCUCCAUUCUUUAAGCAUAGAGGGCAGAGCAAAAUCUUUGAUUUUUACGCAGUCGAUAAUUCAGAACAUGUGACACCUUGGCCUAUAAGCUUGUAAUAUCUAUCCUAUGCCUCGUCUGUGAUAGAAAACAAAAUUCAUAGUGCCACCAACUUCGUUCUCUAUCGUUACAUAUCACUUCAUCGCGUUUAGUCUUGCUUUCAUCUUUUGUUAUUGAUGCGCGGCAAUAAGAACCAUCCGUUGAAUAUUGAGACGUCUGAACAUCGUGAGCGGAAGUGUUCCGUUGCCUCCCUGACUUUUUCGCUUUUAGGUGUGUAUCAAAAUAGUACGGUUCAGUGUGGCCAAAUCGGGGAAAUUGAGAAGAACACAGUGUACCAUCUCCUUGGCGUUACCGACGAGUUCUGUGAUGUUUGCGGAGGUGUUUGGUGGAUGCCGCUAAUGAGGAAUGGGGUAGUGGAAGGGAGAAUGGAGCCGCAAGUUGUAAGCAAAUUACAUUUUAAAAAAUGCUCUUAUAUAAACUGCGGUGUUACAAGUAGAAAUACCACGGAUGGUACAUCGUUUCAUACUUUUCCCAUUAAGGAUCAUGAUCGAUGUAUAACAUGGCUUGUUAAUUGUGGUCUAGAUGAUUGGGUUGUGGAAAAUGACAGUUUUUUUAAACAUAAGUACGUAUGCAGUAGACAUUUUAGUAAAGAUUGCAAGCAUGCUUCCGGCCGACUUACUAAGUCGGCUGUUCCAAAUUUAUAUGACCAUGAUAACAAUUUAGAAUCUACCACCUCGCAUACUACUGAGAUUGAUGUUCAAGCUUUAAUGAAAGAAAACAAUUUUUUGAAAAAACGGUUGUUGGAAGCCGAGAAGACAAUAGAGCAAGAGAAGAUUCGUUACGAGAAUCUUCUGUCGCGAUAUCGAACGAAAUGUGAGCAAAGCGAAAAGAGAAAGAAAGUAUAGUUUCUAUUGAACGGUUAUUUAAAGUAUAAUUCAAUGUGAGUUUUACGUUUCUGUACGUAUGAUAAAAUGGAAAAUUUUCGAAAUGAAUAUAAGAGUAAACCUUUCGGUUUCGGUAACACAGGCGAGUCACAAUUCAUUCGAACUCAGAAACGUGAAAAGUGGCAUAAAAAUAAAAGAGCUAAAUUUUUUAAUGAAAACAGAAGUAUUUUAGACAGCUUGGUAAACACAGCUCACAGUGAAGAAAGUAAGAAAUCUUCUGUAUUUGAAAAUCUUAUGACACAACUACUAAAAUGAAGAGCAAAGCAUGAUCUUUAGAAAAAGUUGGAGCAAGUAAAGAGGAAACAGCCUUUUAUAGUUGGAGCUGUUCAUCACAAUAUAUAUUCACCAGGAAUGAAAAAUUAACAUUUCGCAUCAGGCAUGAUAAAUAAGAAGGCAUUUAAAUCAAACGUAUCCAUGGCUCUAUUGGUUCCACCAAAAAGAAUUAUAAGAGCCACAGAGAAACAAUUAAUGUACAAAACACAAGUAAAUGAGGUAAUAAAAGUUCAAGCAAAACUCACAUUUCUUGAGAAGAACAAACAGUCCAAAGUAUCAAAGGAAAAAGAAUAUUCCUUUGCUCCAGAGAAUCAUAAAUUUGAGCCGCCAGAAGGACUGCCUCAAGUACCAUUAUUUGAUAGACUCAGGUGCACUAUGACACCUGUCAUUUCAAAUAAAUUUGUAUCAACAUUUUCAAAAAUUACACGGGCGAGCGGAGGUUAUAAUAAUGCAAACUUUACCAUAGAACAGAUCAAUAGCAAAAUCUUAAAUAUGUCUUAUACUAUUGGAAAGGGAAUCAGAUAAUGGUGAUAACACAGAGGAAGGUUCUGUCGAACCCAUUAUAUUAAGAUUAUUUUCUAAUAAAGAGGAAAUAUUUUUUUCAAGAAAUGAAAAUGAUAAAAGACAAUGUAUGUAUGUACAUUGCUCAAAUAUUAUUACCAUAUAAGCGCGGUUGCGUUGUUUGAUACUUUCUGAUGUAAAAAGAGUUUCGCUUGAUCGCAUUGGUUUGCACUUUUGAUCAGAUUUUUGCAAUAAUCCAUAGCACUCAAACGACUAAUGAUGACAGAAAGAGAUUAUUGUCCUGCCUAUUAGAAAUUAAUGACGUCAAUAUAAGCGUAUCUAUUUUUAUAAAUUAGGCUGAGAUGAUUAUUUAUAAUUG